ACAAAAACGUCUCUUAUCCAUGCAUUUCAUUCCGUUUUCUUCAUUUUUCCCAAUGGCUCGUUGUUCAGGUUGUCCAGCACCGCAUUUCGUAAAUAAACCAAUCAAUCAGGUGCAAACUUU
Non-coding RNA from Caenorhabditis elegans, 120 nucleotides. Lineage: Eukaryota; Metazoa; Nematoda; Chromadorea; Rhabditida; Rhabditidae. The record is from Ensembl.